This 316-nucleotide ribosomal RNA is filed under the name Triticum aestivum (bread wheat). RNAcentral describes it as "partial small subunit ribosomal RNA". Lineage: Eukaryota; Viridiplantae; Streptophyta; Magnoliopsida; Poales; Poaceae. The record is from RNAcentral.
CUGACAUCUUUGGAAGCAAUGUUUGAUGCAUACUCUCUCUAUGUAGGAAGCAAUAUUUGUUGCACAAUGUCAUGAGCAACAGUGCAGUGGUGACCUUCGCUUCACCAAGGGCUUCUCUGCAGCUAUCGAGGGUUAGUGUGUAGACGGAGACGCCGACAACGAGAUGGCUGAUAGGGGUGGCGCCGGCAAUGGCGAGGACGUCGACCGACAACAACAGCAUCCCCCUCUCCCAUCAGCAGCUAUGCCACAAUGCUACUCGAGUACUAAAACAAUAUUGGACAAUAUUGAUACAAUCAGGAAUCAGCUAACAUGAAUA